Molecule: ribosomal RNA, 248 nt
Filed under: uncultured bacterium
Lineage: Bacteria
Description: partial 16S ribosomal RNA
Rfam family: Bacterial small subunit ribosomal RNA
Source: RNAcentral
UACAGAGGAUGCAAGCGUUAUCCGGAAUGAUUGGGCGUAAAGCGUGUGUAGGCGGCUUUUUAAGUCCGCCGUGAAAUCCCAGGGCUCAACCCUGGACAGGCGGUUGAAACUACCAAGCUGGAGUACGGUAGGGGCGGAGGGAAUUUCCGGUGGAGCGGUGAAAUGCGUAGAGAUCGGGAAGAACACCAACGGCGAAGGCAAUCCGCUGGGCCGACACUGACGCUGAGAGACGAAAGCUAGGGGAGCGA